CCGGGACCAUCCGGUAAGGCUAAAUACUCCCGAGAGACCGAUAGCGAACCAGUACCGUGAGGGAAAGGUGAAAAGCACUUCGAACAGAAGAGUGAAAUAGUUCCUGAAACCGUGCGCCUACAAGCGGUCGGAGCUGCUUAAAGCAGUGACGGCGUGCCUUUUGCAUAAUGAACCUACGAGUUGCCUUUGCCGGCAAGGUUAAGUGUGACGACACACGUAUCCGAAGCGAAAGCGAGUCUGAAGAGGGCGUAUAGUCGGCAGUGGCAGACGCGAAACCAAGUGAUCUACCCUUGGCCAGGUUGAAGGCUGGGUAACACCAGCUGGAGGACCGCACCAAUAAGCGUUGAAAAGCUUCUGGAUGAGCUGAGGGUAGGGGUGAAAGGCUAAUCAAACUUGGAGAUAGCUCGUACUCCCCGAAAUGCAUUUAGGUGCAGCCUUGUGAGUUACUAAUGUGAGGUAGAGCGACUGAUAAGAUGCGAGGGCUUCACCGCCUAUCAAGUCUUGACAAACUCCGAAUGCGCAUCAGUUUUACCUCAGGAGUGAGGGCAUGGGUGCUAAGGUCCGUGCCCGAGAGGAGAAGAAUCCGGACCACCUGCUAAGGUCCCGAAAUGACAGCUAAGUUAAACUAACGAAGUCUGACUGCUAAGACAGCUAGGAUGUUGGCUUGGAAGCAGCCAUUCAUUUAAAGAGUGCGUAACAGCUCACUAGUCGAGCGAUCUGGCGUGGAUAAUAAUCGGGCAUAAACGAUCUGCCGAAGCCGUGGAUGUCGCAAGACAUGGUAGGGGAGCAUUCCAUGCCGCGUCGAAGAUGAGGGAUGACCCUUGUUGGAGCGCAUGGAAAAGCAAAUGUAGGUAUGAGUAACGAUAAGGGGGGCGAGAAACCCCCCCGCCGAAAGACCAAGGUUUCCUGAUCAACGCUAAUCGGAUCAGGGUGAGUCGGGACCUAAGGCAAAGCCGAACGGCGCCGCCGAUGGAAGAAUGGGUUAAUAUUCCCAUACUGCCUCAUGGAGUGACGUGGAGACGGAGAAGUGACAGUCCUGCCGGCUGACGGAAUAGCCGGUUGAAGGGUGUAGAUAUUGAUUCCCGUAGGCAAAUCCGCGGGGAGAGUCGAACCUGAGAGUAUACGGAGCGCUUGCGCAACGUAAUAUGGACGUAACCAUGCUCCCGAGAAAAUCCGCUAAACUUAUCCAUGCGGCACCCGUACCGUAAACGGACACACGUGGUCGGGUUGAGAAUACUGAGGCGCUCGAGUGAUUCACGGUUAAGGAACUAGGCAAAUUGACCCUGUAACUUCGGGAUAAAGGGUCCUCGUCGUAAGGCGAGGCGCAGAGAAUAGGUCCAGGCAACUGUUUAACAAAAACACAUGGCUGUGCUAAAUGGAAACAUGAUGUAUACAGCCUGACACCUGCCCGGUGCCGGAAGGUUAAGAGGAGAUGUCAUCCGCGAGGAGAAGCGUUGAAUUGAAGCCCCGGUAAACGGCGGCCGUAACUAUAACGGUCCUAAGGUAGCGAAAUUCCUUGUCGGGU
This 1525-nucleotide ribosomal RNA is filed under the name human gut metagenome. Its description in RNAcentral is "bacterial LSU rRNA". It matches the Rfam family "Bacterial large subunit ribosomal RNA", at positions 447 to 1977 of the family's 2925-position model. The record is from RNAcentral.